AUGUACACACGCACCGAGCCACCGACGCACCACGCACGAGCACGAGACGAGAGAAACCUAGCCUUGAGCCUUCCCGUUCCAGUUCCUCUUCCCAUGGACCAGGAGGCGACGCUGAUGCCAAUGGCGGAGGAGCUCCUCGUCUUUUUUGCGGAAGACACGGCGCCCAUGCCCAGGAGCUGCACCAUGCCUGCAUCCGCCGGUGGGGAGGAGCGACGGCCCGGACCAAGCGCCGCAGCACCAGAGAGGGUCCCGGCAGUAGCAGACACCGGGGAGCCGAGGGAGGGGACAGUGGAGCGAUUGGCUCCAACACCUCAGUCAAUCUGUAAGCCUAAGGAUAGGAUUAGAAGAAGAUUCAUUGCAAAAGGGGCUUGUCGACCAAAAAAGUAUGCUUUUCCACAACACCCUGCUGGAGGAUUUAGAAACUGGAAUCACAAGGAUAGUUUUCUGAAACAUGAAGGUGGAAUCAAUAGUGCACACAACAAAGCACAAGAAAAAUACAAUUUCUUCAUUGCACCCAAAACAACAAUUGUAGAGUCAUUUUCCUCAACCACCAAACAAGACAAGAUUCUAUAUAUUGCUCGCUUGGCAUAUUCUCUUAAAUGCCCGAGGUUUCUUUUGUGUCAAGGGUUAGCUUUCCGUGGACAUGAUGAAAGAGAAGUUUCACUAAAUAACGGUAGUUUCCUUGAGCUUCUACAUUGGCUAGCAGAGAAUUUUGAAGAAGUGGACAAGGUGGUUCUUAAGAAUGCUCCAAAGAACAAUAAAAUGGUAGCUCAUGAAAUACAAACAGACCUCAUCAACUCUUGUGCCAAAGAAACUACUAGGCUUAUGAUGGAAGAGCUAGAUUCAAUUGAGUUGUUGAGAGAUGAUGGUGGAUGGGAAACUUUUCUUGAAGAGGUUACUUCUUAUUGUGUCAAGCAGAAAGUCAGAGUUCCUCAAAUGGGUGGUCAGUACAAGCCUCCUGGAAGACCCUCAAGAUUCUACAAAAAUCUCACGAAUCUCCACCACUUCCAUGUUCAGAUGUUUUUGGCUCUUAUUGAUAGGCAACUUCGAGAGCUUGGAAAUAGAUUUGAUGAGGAAAACUUGGUUAAGCUUGCACAUCUCUAUCCUUUGGAUUUCACGGAGGAAGAUUUGAUGCAUAUUCCAUAUCAACUUACACACUUCAUUACUGAUAUGCAUAGAGAUGAGAGGUUUAGAAAGUAG
Molecule: ribosomal RNA, 1200 nt
Filed under: Triticum aestivum (bread wheat)
Lineage: Eukaryota; Viridiplantae; Streptophyta; Magnoliopsida; Poales; Poaceae
Description: partial small subunit ribosomal RNA
Source: RNAcentral